Long non-coding RNA from Pezoporus flaviventris, 409 nucleotides. RefSeq lists it as uncharacterized. Lineage: Eukaryota; Metazoa; Chordata; Aves; Psittaciformes; Psittacidae. The transcript is spliced from 4 exons. The record is from RefSeq and is a predicted model, not a curated record.
AAUAAAUAAAGGAGAGCAAAUUGAAGGAAAGGUCCAUGUACAGAACUGCAACCUCACUGCAACAUCCUCCUGGUGCUGGCAGUUCAUAGUGCACACCGAAUCUGAGACAAUGGAUCUGGCUUGAAUCAAGUUGACGCAGACUCUGCCUAGCCCUGGAGUUGGCUCCUGUUGCUCCUCAAACACAAAAUCCUCCUCAGUAUAGGGUAUUCCAGUUGCAUCCAGAAGAAUCAACUAUGUCCUUGAGAUAAGACAACACUGGAGAAUGUAUCUGUUCCAGAAACUGGACUCCAUAAGAUGACACUGGUGUGGGAAAAUAAACCUCUCCAACAGGAUGGCCGGCUGUUCCGCAAAUGGUGGUGGGAGCCUCCACUGCAAUGGCCCUUGCAAUAGCAUCUUCAGCUGGAUCAGG